GACGAACGCUGGCGGCGUGCUUAACACAUGCAAGUCGAACGGGAAGGCCCUUCGGGGUACACGAGUGGCGAACGGGUGAGUAACACGUGGGUGAUCUGCCCUGCACUUCGGGAUAAGCCUGGGAAACUGGGUCUAAUACCGGAUAGGACCACUGCCUGCAUGGGUGGUGGUGGAAAGCUUUUGCGGUGUGGGAUGGGCCCGCGGCCUAUCAGCUUGUUGGUGGGGUGAUGGCCUACCAAGGCGACGACGGGUAGCCGGCCUGGGAGGGUGACCGGCCACACGGGGACUGAGAUACGGCCCAGAGUCCGACGGGAGGCAGCAGUGGGGAAUAUUGCACAAUGGGCGCAAGCCUGAUGCAGCAACGCCGCGUGAGGGAUGACGGACUUCGGGUUGUAAACCUCUUUCAGCACCGACGAAGCGCAAGUGACGGUAGGUGCAGAAGAAGGACCGGCCAACUACGUGCCAGCAGCCGCGGUAA
RNAcentral lists this ribosomal RNA (478 nucleotides) under uncultured bacterium. Its description in RNAcentral is "partial 16S ribosomal RNA". It matches the Rfam family "Bacterial small subunit ribosomal RNA", at positions 28 to 523 of the family's 1533-position model. The record is from RNAcentral.